AUACGGAGGGUGCAAGCGUUAAUCGGAAUUACUGGGCGUAAAGGGCGCGUAGGUGGUUCGGUCAGUCGGAUGUGAAAGCCCCGGGCUCAACUCGGGAAUUGCAUUCGAUACUGCCAGGCUAGAAUGUAGUAGAGGGAAGUGGAAUUCCGGGUGUAGCGGUGAAAUGCGUAGACAUCCGGAGGAACACCAGUGGCGAAGGCGGCUUCCUGGAUCAAGACUGACGCUGAGGCUCGAAAGCGUGGGGAGCAAACAGGAUUAGAUACCCCGGUAGUCC
Molecule: ribosomal RNA, 274 nt
Filed under: uncultured bacterium
Lineage: Bacteria
Description: partial 16S ribosomal RNA
Rfam family: Bacterial small subunit ribosomal RNA
Source: RNAcentral